RNAcentral lists this ribosomal RNA (425 nucleotides) under uncultured bacterium. RNAcentral describes it as "bacterial SSU rRNA". It matches the Rfam family "Bacterial small subunit ribosomal RNA", at positions 356 to 773 of the family's 1533-position model. The record is from RNAcentral.
AGGGAAUCUUCCGCAAUGGACGAAAGUCUGACGGAGCAACGCCGCGUGAGUGAUGAAGGUUUUCGGAUCGUAAAACUCUGUUGUAAGGGAAGAACAAGUACAGUAGUAACUGGCUGUACCUUGACGGUACCUUAUUAGAAAGCCACGGCUAACUACGUGCCAGCAGCCGCGGUAAUACGUAGGUGGCAAGCGUUGUCCGGAAUUAUUGGGCGUAAAGCGCGCGCAGGCGGUUUCUUAAGUCUGAUGUGAAAGCCCCCGGCUCAACCGGGGAGGGUCAUUGGAAACUGGGGAACUUGAGUGCAGAAGAGGAGAGUGGAAUUCCACGUGUAGCGGUGAAAUGCGUAGAGAUGUGGAGGAACACCAGUGGCGAAGGCGACUCUCUGGUCUGUAACUGACGCUGAGGCGCGAAAGCGUGGGGAGCGAAC